This 466-nucleotide long non-coding RNA is filed under the name Equus caballus (horse). Its description in RNAcentral is "lncRNA (ENSECAG00000014824.4)". Lineage: Eukaryota; Metazoa; Chordata; Mammalia; Perissodactyla; Equidae. The record is from RNAcentral.
GGAUAGCCUGGCUUCAUUGGACUUACUGAGUGAAGCAGUGCAUUUAGUAGGUGGAUCUCCAGCAGGAGGUUCUCACAGAGGGUUCCCAAAGGUAAUUUUGAUCAACUUGAAGCAUCAACCUGGAGUUCAAACAAGCCCUUUAUAACAAAGUUCCUGCUAGUUCCAAAGUUGGGCAGAUGAUGAGGUAAGGAGUGGGACUAAUCUAUGGAUCAGCAUGUCUAUUUUAAGCCUCUAACAACCCUCUCUGAUUUACAGGAUGCCUUCAGAGCCAUGCACCCAAAGCUUGACAUUGUGCAGUUAUUCCUUAAGCCCCUGCUCAUUGGAGAGCUUAUCCCAGAAGAGGCCAUCCAGGAGAGAAACAAAAAUGAUCUACCUGCACAGGAUCAGACAUGCAUUAAGGAUGCUAUAAAUAGCUGUUGAAUGAAAGAUGUGGAUAUCUUAACUACAGCCCUUUUUACGUUUGGAG